GACAUGAAUCAGUCAGUUUAGAUGCGAAAGCAGCUGGUUCGGUCACACCAUUCAUGAAGCUCGUCGCAUUAACUCUUAAACCAACGAGCUGGGGGACUAACUGUUGGGGUCGGAUUCCCCCACAAGCAAGACCGAGCCAAACAUUCAUAAGAAUAACAAUCACCUUAUGGUUAAA
This 175-nucleotide small RNA is filed under the name Arabidopsis thaliana (thale cress). RNAcentral describes it as "ATSL155140". The record is from RNAcentral. Lineage: Eukaryota; Viridiplantae; Streptophyta; Magnoliopsida; Brassicales; Brassicaceae.